GAUGAACGCUGGCGGCGUGCCUAAUACAUGCAAGUCGAGCGAACAGACGAGGAGCUUGCUCCUCUGACGUUAGCGGCGGACGGGUGAGUAACACGUGGAUAACCUACCUAUAAGACUGGGAUAACUUCGGGAAACCGGAGCUAAUACCGGAUAAUAUAUUGAACCGCAUGGUUCAAUAGUGAAAGACGGUUUUGCUGUCACUUAUAGAUGGAUCCGCGCCGCAUUAGCUAGUUGGUAAGGUAACGGCUUACCAAGGCGACUAUGCGUAGCCGACCUGAGAGGGUGAUCGGCCACACUGGAACUGAGACACGGUCCAGACUCCUACGGGAGUCAGCAGUAGGGAAUCUUCCGCAAUGGGCGAAAGCCUGACGGAGCAACGCCGCGUGAGUGAUGAAGGUCUUCGGAUCGUAAAACUCUGUUAUUAGGGAAGAACAAAUGUGUAAGUAACUAUGCACGUCUUGACGGUACCUAAUCAGAAAGCCACGGCUAACUACGUG
Molecule: ribosomal RNA, 497 nt
Filed under: uncultured bacterium
Lineage: Bacteria
Description: partial 16S ribosomal RNA
Rfam family: Bacterial small subunit ribosomal RNA
Source: RNAcentral